UUUCAUUAUAGUCCACCAGGAUACUCUCUUGGUGUGUACUGGGUGUUAACCUCCUUUUUUUCUGGUACUUGCUAUCCAGCAAUGGGUAGUUUUGUCCAGAUAGUUUACUUUGAAAAAAUUAGAGUGUUCAAAGCAGGCAUAAUUGGCAUCAUGAAUACAUUAGCAUGGGAUAAUAGAAUAUGACAUUGGUCUUAUUUUGUUGGUUUCUAAGGCCAAAGUAAUGAUUGAUAGGGAUAGUUGGGGCCGCUCGUAUUGAGUUGUCAGAGGUGAAAUUCUAGGAUUUACUCAAGACGAACUAAUGCGAAAGCAUUCGGCAAGGAUGUUUUCAUUAAUCAAGAACGAAAGUUGGGGGAUCGAAGAUGAUCAGAUACCGUCGUAGUCUCAACCAUAAACUAUGUCAACCGAGGAUCCGGUAGCGUUACAUGGAUGACCUUCCGGGCACUCUGUGAGAAAUCAUAAGUAUUUGGAUUUCGGGGGGAG
RNAcentral lists this ribosomal RNA (480 nucleotides) under uncultured eukaryote. RNAcentral's name for it is "bacterial SSU rRNA". It matches the Rfam family "Eukaryotic small subunit ribosomal RNA", at positions 634 to 1123 of the family's 1831-position model. The record is from RNAcentral.